This 402-nucleotide ribosomal RNA is filed under the name uncultured Bradyrhizobium sp. RNAcentral's name for it is "bacterial SSU rRNA". It matches the Rfam family "Bacterial small subunit ribosomal RNA", at positions 355 to 774 of the family's 1533-position model. The record is from RNAcentral. Lineage: Bacteria; Pseudomonadati; Pseudomonadota; Alphaproteobacteria; Hyphomicrobiales; Nitrobacteraceae.
UGGGGAAUAUUGGACAAUGGGGGAAACCCUGAUCCAGCGACGCCGCGUGUGUGAAGAAGGCCUGCGGGUUGUAAAGCUCUUUUGUGCGGGAAGAUAAUGACGGUACCGCAAGAAUAAGCCCCGGCUAACUUCGUGCCAGCAGCCGCGGUAAUACGAAGGGGGCUAGCGUUGCUCGGAAUCACUGGGCGUAAAGGGUGCGUAGGCGGGUUUUUAAGUCAGGGGUGAAAUCCUGGAGCUCAACUCCAGAACUGCCUUUGAUACUGAAGAUCUUGAGUCCGGGAGAGGUGAGUGGAACUGCGAGUGUAGAGGUGAAAUUCGUAGAUAUUCGCAAGAACACCAGUGGCGAAGGCGGCUCACUGGCCCGGUACUGACGCUGAGGCACGAAAGCGUGGGGAGCAAACA